RNAcentral lists this long non-coding RNA (274 nucleotides) under Erythranthe guttata (spotted monkey flower). RNAcentral's name for it is "long non-coding RNA (EGUT_LNC002023)". The record is from RNAcentral. Lineage: Eukaryota; Viridiplantae; Streptophyta; Magnoliopsida; Lamiales; Phrymaceae.
AAAUAAUCAAAAACCCUCAAAUUUCAUCUCUCUGUUUGAAGAAUCCGACGCCAUUUUUCCAUGGCGGUAGUGCUCGGCAACGUUUCACCGUUCCUAGACCUCUCCACCUCGCCGCCUCGGCCCAUAAUUCCCGACCGCCGCCUCCGCCCCUUCCCCUCCGACGCGCUCCUGAACCUCUUCAACAAAGACCUCCACCAGAACCCUAAUUUCCACGCGGCGUUCGAAUCGGUGUUCGAUAACCGGGAGAGGCACUCGAACAAGCGGAAAUCGAACC